UACGUAGGGUGCGAGCGUUAAUCGGAAUUACUGGGCGUAAAGCAUGCGCAGGCGGUUUUGUAAGCCAGAUGUGAAAUCCCCGGGCUUAACCUGGGAAUGGCAUUUGGGACUGCAAGGCUGGAGUGCGGCAGAGGAGACUGGAAUUCCUGGUGUAGCAGUGAAAUUCGUAGAUAUUCGGAAGAACACCAGUGGCGAAGGCGGCUCACUGGCCCGUUACCGACGCUCAGGCGCGACAGCGUGGGGAGCAAACAGG
This 253-nucleotide ribosomal RNA is filed under the name uncultured bacterium. Its description in RNAcentral is "partial 16S ribosomal RNA". It matches the Rfam family "Bacterial small subunit ribosomal RNA", at positions 524 to 776 of the family's 1533-position model. The record is from RNAcentral.